GAUGAACGCUGGCGGCAUGCCUAACACAUGCAAGUUGAACGAGAAGUUCUGGAACAAGUCUUCGGACAAGGGAAGGGACGGGAAGUAGCGAACGGGUGAGUAACGCGUGGGCAACCAACCUUACACAGGGGGAUAACGCAGAGAAAUUUGCGCUAAUACCGCAUAAGCGCACAGGAUCACAUGAUCUGGUGUGAAAAACUCCGGUGGUGUAAGACGGGCCCGCGUCUGAUUAGCUAGUUGGUGAGGUAAGAGCUCACCAAGGCGACGAUCAGUAGCCGACCUGAGAGGGUGAUCGGCCACAUUGGGACUGAGACACGGCCCAAACUCCUACGGGAGGCAGCAGUGGGGGAUAUUGCACAAUGGAGGGAACUCUGAUGCAGCAAUGCCGCGUGAAGGAAGAAGGUUUUCGGAUUGUAAACUUCUAUCAGCAGGGAAGAA
RNAcentral lists this ribosomal RNA (438 nucleotides) under Lachnospiraceae bacterium oral taxon A61. RNAcentral's name for it is "bacterial SSU rRNA". It matches the Rfam family "Bacterial small subunit ribosomal RNA", at positions 28 to 449 of the family's 1533-position model. Lineage: Bacteria; Bacillati; Bacillota; Clostridia; Lachnospirales; Lachnospiraceae. The record is from RNAcentral.